CAGGGUGGGCAAUGUCUCCUCCUAAACUGCAAGCAAAAAUUAACCUGCUUCUUUAGAUUAAUGUUGUCAGCUAUUUUGUCAUAGCAAUGAAAAAGCAACGAGUACAACUAUGAUCACGUUGACUAUGGAUGAAGCAACAGCAUAGCUGAAGCUACUGGGCAAUCUAAAGACAAGACAAGAAGAGCGCUGUCCCCAGAUUCUGCCUAGCAGCAUGGAUUGGCAUGGAUUUCUUUUGUGGAUAUUUAGAUGAAAAAGCAUAGUUCAGGUUCCAAGUGUUUGGGCACAACAUCACAGCAGCUGGCAUAUAUGGUGGAAGAGGAUUUUCGUGCACGGCAGACAGGAAAGAGGAAAAAGGAAGAGACCGGGACAAGUUCACAGAAGCGCACAGUAAAAAAGGAAGGAGUCAACAGUCGUGGCACAUGAGCCCAGAGAGACAAGUCUACUUCUUGUUGCAGAGAUAAGUACAGACAACAACCUUCAUCAGAGAAGCUGUUCUUUACAGCAAAUGGAGACCACCACAGGAAAGCCAACUGGACACAACACGGUGAUCAAUUGACCAUGGAGAACCCAGCCCCAGUGGAUACAAUCAUAUCAUAUCUCCUACAUCUCUGGCUCAGGGAACAUGGUGGAAAAGGCGCCAAUAAAAUGAUAAGAGCCAGAAUACCAGGAAAGCUGCUGUGAAACAGUCUCCUCUAGAAAUAGCUACAUCAACUAGACGGAACUAUGGCAAUCUCAUGGAAAGAUUUGGUGGAGUCUACCCCCUAGACAGAGAGUGGCUGCUGAAGAGUGAGUCCUCUUAUUGGUUGACCAGUGCAGACUUGUCAGCCACGAAACCAUAAAUACACAAACAAAAAAAAUGGACUCAAAAGGUCAUUGUAUAUUUUUCUCAUAGAAAGACGUGUGUAUGUAACCUAGCCAGGCCACAGAGGAAGAGGAUCCAGGCAGUCCUGAUGACUGGAUAGGCUGAGGUCAGUCAGGAGAGGAGGAGCGCUCCUCCUUUUUGAGGACUAGGAGAAAGGGAUAGAGAGAAGAGGGAGGGAGGGGAGGAUUAGGAGGAGGUGGGGGAGGGGGCUACAAUCUGGAUGUGAAGUGAAUAGAAUAAAUUAAAAAACAACAAACAAAAGACAAAAGAAAAGGCACUAUUUUUUAUUUUUAUAUACACUUUUAUUUAUUUAUGAUGUUGUUUGUUUCCCUGUGAUUUUUAAUUUUUAUUAUUAGUUACAUUUUAUUAACUCUGUAUCUCAGCUGUGUCCCACUCUCUCAUUCCCUCCCAAUCUCUCCCUCCAUCAUCUCCUCCCUGCCCCCACUAUGAGAAACCAAUUGGUUACUGAGCUACCACGGGUUUCAUCCGAGCAGAGGUUCUAGGUUAUAUCCGUACAUGGUCCUUGGUUGAGUGUCAGUCUCAGAAAAGACCCCUGUGCUCAGAUAUAUUUGGUUCUUGUGGAGCUCCUAUCCUCUCCAUGUCAUACUAACUAACUCCCCCUUCUUUCAUAUGAUUCCCUGCACUCUGCCGAAGAUUUGGUUUUGAGUCUUAGUAUGUGCUUUGAUACACUGCUAGGUAGAGUCUUUCAGAGGCCCUCUGUGGUAGGCUCCUGUCCUGUUACUUGUUUUCUCCUAUGUCCAAUGCACAUCCCAUUUGUCUUUCUAAGUGAGGAUUGAUCAUCUUACCCAGGGUCCUCUUUCUUGUUUAUCUUCUUUAGGUGUAUAGAUUUCAUUAUGUUUAUCAUAUCUUAUAGGUCUAUAUAAGUGAGUAUAUACCAUGUGUGUCUUUCUCCUUUUGGGAUACCUCAUUCAGAAUGAUCUUUUCUAGAUCCCACCAUUUGCCUGCAAAUUUCAUGAUUUCCUCGUUUUUGAUUGCUGAGUAGUAUUCCAUUGUGUAAAAAUACCACAAUUUCUGUAUCCAUUCCUCUGUUGAGGGACAUCUGGGUUAUUUCCAGGUUUUGGCUAUUACAAAUAAA
Molecule: long non-coding RNA, 1958 nt
Organism: Meriones unguiculatus (Mongolian gerbil)
Lineage: Eukaryota; Metazoa; Chordata; Mammalia; Rodentia; Muridae
Exons: 5
Source: RefSeq, a predicted model, not a curated record